CGGAGGGUGCGAGCGUUGUCCGGAAUCACUGGGCGUAAAGGGCGCGUAGGCGGCCUGAUAAGUAGGGGGUGAAAUCCUGCGGCUUAACCGCAGGGCUGCCUUCUAAACUGUCAGGCUGGAGCACAGUAGAGGCAGGUGGAAUUCCCGGUGUAGCGGUGGAAUGCGUAGAGACCGGGAAGAACAUCAGUGGCGAAGGCGGCCUGCUGGGCUGUUGCUGACGCUGAGGCGCGACAGCGUGGGGAGCAAACAGGAUUAGAUACCCUGGUAGUCCACGCCGUAAACGACGGGCACUAGGCGUCGGGGGAGCGACCCUCCCGGUGCCGUCGCAAACGCAGUAAGUGCCCCGCCUGGGGAGUACGGCCGCAAGGCUG
This 371-nucleotide ribosomal RNA is filed under the name uncultured organism. Its description in RNAcentral is "bacterial SSU rRNA". It matches the Rfam family "Bacterial small subunit ribosomal RNA", at positions 526 to 896 of the family's 1533-position model. The record is from RNAcentral.